Molecule: non-coding RNA, 24 nt
Filed under: Arabidopsis thaliana (thale cress)
Lineage: Eukaryota; Viridiplantae; Streptophyta; Magnoliopsida; Brassicales; Brassicaceae
Source: RNAcentral
AAGGACGCAGCAGAACAGGUGCUC